AGGACGAACGCUGGCGGCGUGCCUAAUACAUGCAAGUCGAACGCACUGACGUCGACAGAAGGUGCUUGCACUGGAAGUUGAUUGACGUGAGUGGCGGACGGGUGAGUAACACGUGGGUAACCUGCCCUUAAGCGGGGGAUAACAUUUGGAAACAGAUGCUAAUACCGCAUAAAAGUUGAGAUCACAUGGUCUUAAUUUGAAAGACGGCCUUUGGCUGUCACUUAAGGAUGGACCCGCGGCGUAUUAGCUAGUUGGUGAGAUAAUAGCCCACCAAGGCGAUGAUACGUAGCCGACCUGAGAGGGUAAUCGGCCACAUUGGGACUGAGACACGGCCCAAACUCCUACGGGAGGCAGCAGUAGGGAAUCUUCCACAAUGGACGAAAGUCUGAUGGAGCAACGCCGCGUGAGUGAAGAAGGUUUUCGGAUCGUAAAACUCUGUUGUUGGAGAAGAACAGGGACUAGAGUAACUGUUAGUCCUUUGACGGUAUCCAACCAGAAAGCCACGGCUAACUACGUGCCAGCAGCCGCGGUAAUACGUAGGUGGCAAGCGUUGUCCGGAUUUAUUGGGCGUAAAGCGAGCGCAGGCGGUUUCUUAAGUCUGAUGUGAAAGCCUUCGGCUUAACCGAAGAAGUGCAUCAGAUACUGGGAAACUUGAGUGCAGAAGAGGAAAGUGGAACUCCAUGUGUAGCGGUGAAAUGCGUAGAUAUAUGGAAGAACACCAGUGGCGAAGGCGGCUUUCUGGUCUGUAACUGACGCUGAGGCUCGAAAGUAUGGGGAGCGAACAGGAUUAGAUACCCUGGUAGUCCAUACCGUAAACGAUGAAUGCUAAGUGUUGGAGGGUUUCCGCCCUUUAGUGCUGCAGCUAACGCAUUAAGCAUUCCGCCUGGGGAGUACGACCGCAAGGUUGAAACUCAAAGGAAUUGACGGGGGCCCGCACAAGCGGUGGAGCAUGUGGUUUAAUUCGAAGCUACGCGAAGAACCUUACCAGGUCUUGACAUCUAGCGCCAAUCCUAGAGAUAGGACGUUCCCUUCGGGGACGCUAAGACAGGUGGUGCAUGGUUGUCGUCAGCUCGUGUCGUGAGAUGUUGGGUUAAGUCCCGCAACGAUCGCAACCCUUAUGAUUAGUUGCCAGCAUUUAGUUGGGCACUCUAAUCAGACUGCCGGUGACAAACCGGA
This 1176-nucleotide ribosomal RNA is filed under the name uncultured bacterium. RNAcentral describes it as "bacterial SSU rRNA". It matches the Rfam family "Bacterial small subunit ribosomal RNA", at positions 26 to 1167 of the family's 1533-position model. The record is from RNAcentral.